UGGGGAAUAUUGCACAAUGGGCGCAAGCCUGAUGCAGCCAUGCCGCGUGUAUGAAGAAGGCCUUCGGGUUGAAAGUACUUUCAGCGAGGAGGAAGGCAUUAAGGUUAAUAACCUUGGUGAUUGACGUUACUCGCAGAAGAAGCGACCGGCUAACUCCGUGCCAGCAGCCAGCGGUAAUCGGAGGGUGCAAGCGUUAAUCGGAAUUACUGGGCGUAAAGCGCACGCAGGCGGUCUGUUAAGUCAGAUGUGAAAAUCCCCCGGGCUCAACCUGGGAACUGCAUUUGGAAACUGGGCAGGCUUAGUCUUGUAGAGGGGGGGUAGAAUUCCAGGUG
Molecule: ribosomal RNA, 332 nt
Filed under: uncultured Raoultella sp.
Lineage: Bacteria; Pseudomonadati; Pseudomonadota; Gammaproteobacteria; Enterobacterales; Enterobacteriaceae
Description: bacterial SSU rRNA
Rfam family: Bacterial small subunit ribosomal RNA
Source: RNAcentral